This 497-nucleotide ribosomal RNA is filed under the name uncultured bacterium. Its description in RNAcentral is "partial 16S ribosomal RNA". It matches the Rfam family "Bacterial small subunit ribosomal RNA", at positions 28 to 507 of the family's 1533-position model. The record is from RNAcentral.
GAUGAACGCUGGCGGCGUGCCUAAUACAUGCAAGUCGAGCGAACAGACGAGGAGCUUGCUCCUCUGACGUUAGCGGCGGACGGGUGAGUAACACGUGGAUAACCUACCUAUAAGACUGGGAUAACUUCGGGAAACCGGAGCUAAUACCGGAUAAUAUAUUGAACCGCAUGGUUCAAUAGUGAAAGACGGUUUUGCUGUCACUUAUAGAUGGAUCCGCGCCGCAUUAGCUAGUUGGUAAGGUAACGGCUUACCAAGGCGACGAUGCGUAGCCGACCUGGGAGGGUGAUCGGCCACACUGGAACUGAGACACGGUCCAGACUCCUACGGGAGGCAGUAGUAGGGAAUCUUCCGCAAUGGGCGAAAGCCUGACGGAGCAACGCCGCGUGAGUGAUGAAGGUCUUCGGAUCGUAAAACUCUGUUAUUAGGGAAGAACAAAUGUGUAAGUAACUAUGCACGUCUUGACGGUACCUAAUCAGAAAGCCACGGCUAACUACGUG